CAGUAGCCGCGGUAACACGUAGGGUGCAAGCGUUAAUCGGAAUUACUGGGCGUAAAGCGUGCGCAGGCGGUUAUAUAAGACAGAUGUGAAAUCCCCGGGCUCAACCUGGGAACUGCAUUUGUGACUGUAUAGCUAGAGUACGGCAGAGGGGGAUGGAAUUCCGCGUGUAGCAGUGAAAUGCGUAGAUAUGCGGAGGAACACCGAUGGCGAAGGCAAUCCCCUGGGCCUGUACUGACGCUCAUGCACGAAAGCGUGGGGAGCAAACAGGAUUAGAUACCCCGGUAGUCCCUGUCUCUUAUAC
RNAcentral lists this ribosomal RNA (301 nucleotides) under uncultured bacterium. RNAcentral's name for it is "partial 16S ribosomal RNA". It matches the Rfam family "Bacterial small subunit ribosomal RNA", at positions 509 to 807 of the family's 1533-position model. The record is from RNAcentral.